CCUUGACAUGCCACUAACGAAGCAGAGAUGCAUUAGGUGCCCGAAAGGGAAAGUGGACACAGGUGCUGCAUGGCUGUCGUCAGCUCGUGUCGUGAGAUGUUGGGUUAAGUCCCGCAACGAGCGCAACCCUUGCCAAUAAUUGCCAUCAUUCAGUUGGGCACUUUAUUGGGACUGCCGGUGACAAACCGGAGGAAGGUGGGGAUGACGUCAAGUCCUCAUGGCCCUUAUGGCCAGGGCUUCACACGUAAUACAAUGGCGCGUACAGAGGGUUGCCAACCCGCGAGGGGGAGCCAAUCCCAGAAAGCGCGUCGUAGUCCGAAUUGCAGUCUGCAACUCGACUGCAUGAAGUCGGAAUCGCUAGUAAUCGCGGAUCAGCAUGUCGCGGUGAAUACGUUCCCGGGCCUUGUACACACCGCCCGUCACACCAUGGGAGUGGGUUCUACCAGAAGUAGCUAGUCUAACCGCAAGGGGGACGGUUACCACGGUAGGAUUCAUGACUGGGGUGAAGUCGUAAUCAAGGUAGCCGUA
Molecule: ribosomal RNA, 528 nt
Filed under: uncultured bacterium
Lineage: Bacteria
Description: bacterial SSU rRNA
Rfam family: Bacterial small subunit ribosomal RNA
Source: RNAcentral